RNAcentral lists this ribosomal RNA (121 nucleotides) under Helianthus annuus (common sunflower). Lineage: Eukaryota; Viridiplantae; Streptophyta; Magnoliopsida; Asterales; Asteraceae. RNAcentral also lists the same sequence under 1 other name. The record is from RNAcentral.
GGUUGCGAUCAUACCAGCACUAAUGCACCGGAUCCCAUCAGAACUCCGCAGUUAAGCGUGCUUGGGCGAGAGUAGUACUAGGAUGGGUGACCCCCUGGGAAGUCCUCGUGUUGCAACCGCC